AGACCUGAGAAGUCACCUGGGGAGGCUCAUUAAUUCAACAAACCGGCUUCUGGUUUCAAUUUGGCUUUUAACUGGGGAGGGAACUUGAUCUUCUAAAGGAGCUCUGUUUCUAUAAAACCGAUAAAAAGCCUGUUUUCCCACCUCCCUUUCAGAAACACACGUGCUCACGGCAGGCUUUACCAUCCCAUCAUCUGCAGGACACACUUUAGAUGGCAAGUUUGGCGUAGAGAGUGUCCCAGAAAGAGGGGAGAAUGGGGCUCACUUCUUCACAAAGCCAUGGAUAAACCUUAAUUUCACAGAAGGAGUUUUGUACCCAUGGAUUUAAGAUCCAUGACUCUUGAUGAGAAGAAUAGGAGGGAGUGGGCAGGGGAAAUCAAAAGCAGAGACAUCACUUUGUUGACAAAGGCCCAUAUAGUCAAAGCUAUGGUUUUUCCAGUUAGUCAUGUACAGAUGUGAGAGUUGGACCAUUAAGAAGGCUGAGUGCCAAAAAUUUGAUGCUUUCAAAUUGUGCUGGAGAAGACUCUUGAGAGUCCCUUGGACUGCAAGGAAAUCAAACCAGUCAAUCCUAAAGGAAAUCAGUCUUGAAUAUUCAUUGGAAGGACUGUUGCUGAAGCUCCAAUAUUUGGCCACCUGAUACGAAGAACUGACUCAUUGGAAAAGACACUGAUGCUGAAAAAGACUGAGGGCAGAAGGAGAAGGAGGCGACUGAGGAUGAGAUGGUUGGAUGGCAUCACCAACUCAAUGGACAUGAGUUUGAGCAAACUCUGGGAGAUGGUGAAGGACAGGGAAAGCAUGGCAUGCUGCAGUUCAUGGGGUUGCAAAGAGUCGGACACGACAGAGCGACUGAACACCACCACCAGCACCUAGAGAAGGCCCCUGGAACUACUGGAGAGAACUCCCUCUCAGCUCUGACAGGUGAUGGAGCUUGACGUACAGAUCUCAGUCCACACUGCUGUCCCUGGAGCCCUGUGUGUACAAGGUUCCCGCUGCUGGUUUUUAUGCCUGCUUUGCAUCACCCGAGGGGUAACGAUGCUGGGAAGGGACUCAGGUCAAGUGGUCAGAGACACCACUGGACACACAGUGGCUCUUGCCUGCGCUGGGAGACGCUGCCCAUUCCUUUUUUUCUUGGAUUUCAGUUGCAGGGGAAAUGCAUUAUUU
Bos taurus (domestic cattle) is the source of this 1158-nucleotide long non-coding RNA. NCBI's taxonomy places the organism in Eukaryota, Metazoa, Chordata, Mammalia, Artiodactyla, Bovidae. The record is from Ensembl.